GAUCUGACGUUACCUAAAGAAUCAGCACCGGCUAACUCUGUGCCAGCAGCCGCGGUAAUACAGAGGGUGCAAGCGUUAAUCGGAAUUACUGGGCGUAAAGGGUCUGUAGGCGGAUUAUUAAGUCGGAUGUGAAAUCCCCGGGCUCAACCUGGGAACGGCAUUCGAUACUGGUAGUCUAGAGUGUGCAAGAGGAUGGGGGAAUUCCUGGUGUAGCAGUGAAAUGCGUAGAGAUCAGGAGGAACAUCAAUGGCGAAGGCACCUUUCUGGGGCAACACUGACGCUGAGAGACGAAAGCGUGGGGAGCAAACAGGAUUAGAUACCCUGGUAGUCCACGCCCUAAACGAUGUCAACUAACUGUUCGGAGUCACUAAGAUUCUGAGUAGUGAAGCUAACGCGAUAAGUUGACCGCCUGGGGAGUACGGCCGCAAGGUUGAAACUCAAAGAAAUUGACGGGGGCCCGCACAAGCGGUGGAGUAUGUGGUUUAAUUCGAUGCAACGCGAAGAACCUUACCCGGUCUUGACAUGGUAGGAAUCUUGUAGAGAUACGAGAGUGCCUUCGGGAACCUACACACAGGUGCUGCACGGCUGUCGUCAGCUCGUGUCGUG
This 606-nucleotide ribosomal RNA is filed under the name uncultured bacterium. RNAcentral's name for it is "bacterial SSU rRNA". It matches the Rfam family "Bacterial small subunit ribosomal RNA", at positions 466 to 1069 of the family's 1533-position model. The record is from RNAcentral.